UUGCUCACUUCAGCAGCACAUCUACUAAAAUUGGAACAAUAUAGAAAAGAUUAGCACCGUCCCUGCAUAGGAAUGACAUUGCAAAUUUAUAAAGUAGUCCAUAUUUUU
Sciurus carolinensis (gray squirrel) is the source of this 108-nucleotide small nuclear RNA. The record is from RefSeq and is a predicted model, not a curated record. Lineage: Eukaryota; Metazoa; Chordata; Mammalia; Rodentia; Sciuridae.